CACACUCUCUCUCCAUAAAUUCUACAACUGACAUUCUUUUAACCCUAAUUUUCUUUGGAAGGAUUUUCUCGGAUUAAGAGUGUUCUCAUUGUUUCUUGUUUGACUGUGAUUGAUCCUGGAGGAUGCGUAAUUUUGGUCUAUUUAUUGGGAGGUGGUUUCUGACGGUAGGAAUUGCAGUUGAAAUAUGAUGGUUUCUGUCAUUGCAUAUUAUGCCAGGUCUAUUGGGAGGUGCUUUAUGAUGAUGAUGGGAAUUGCAGUUGAAAUGGGUUCCCCCCUGCCAUUGGGUUCUUUCCGUUUCUGGCGGACUGGCAUUCUACAUAUUUUUUGCUUGUGGUGCGAAAAGUAAUUUGUUUGAUGGGCUUUGAUGUGCGUCUCUAGUACAAGCCUUGACUAUAUAUGCAGUUGAAAUGGUCUCUGCCAUUGCAUUCUGGCCAGGUAGCUUGUUCACUAUGAAGGGAC
This is a long non-coding RNA of Papaver somniferum (opium poppy), 459 nucleotides long. RefSeq lists it as uncharacterized. The transcript is spliced from 5 exons. Lineage: Eukaryota; Viridiplantae; Streptophyta; Magnoliopsida; Ranunculales; Papaveraceae. The record is from RefSeq and is a predicted model, not a curated record.